This is a non-coding RNA of Pelobates cultripes (western spadefoot toad), 223 nucleotides long. NCBI's taxonomy places the organism in Eukaryota, Metazoa, Chordata, Amphibia, Anura, Pelobatidae. The record is from the annotation of a GenBank genome assembly.
CCUGAUGCGAUUAUCUAAGUCAUUUAGGGAUCUCUGGUAAGUGGACAAGUAUGAGGUUUGUGCAUCAAGGGCGGAGUGCAUUUGCUGGAGUUUUGUAUAGAUCACAUCCCUAUCGUCCUCCAGCGAGCUCACCCUAUCGCCAACAUGACAGAUUUCGACUCCGAAGACUUCUAUUUUUUUUUUUUUUUUUUAAACUAGCUUUCCAACUUCUGGAACAUUGAAG